GAAAAUAGUUCAGUAAAAUAGGAAAAUAGUUCAGUAAAAUAGGAAAAUAGUUCAGUAAAAUAGGAAAAUAGUUCAGUAAAAUAGGAAAAUAGUUUUGUGUAAUAGGAAAAUAGUUCAGUAAAAUAGGAAAAUAGUUCAGUAAAAUAGGAAAAUAGUUCAGUAAAAUAGGAAAAUAGUUCAGUAAAAUUAUAAGGUACUUCAGUAAAAUGGUUCAGAAAAAAUAGGAAAAUAGCUCAGUAAAAUAGGAAAAUAGUUCAGUAAAAUAGGAAAAUAGUUCAGUAAAAUAGGAAAAUAGUUCAGUAAAAUUAUAAGGUACUUCAGUAAAAUGGUUCAGAAAAAAAUAGGAAAAUAGCUCAGUAAAAGAGUAAAAUAGUUUAGCAAGAAUAGUACAGCAAAAUAGUAAAAUGGUUCAGUAAAAUCGUAAAAUAGUCCAGUAAAAUAGUUAAGUGUGCCCUAAAAUACACAAAGUUUCUUAUAUUAUUACUCGAGAAAGUGAAAAAUAUUGUUCCCCCUAAAAAUAUACUCGUUUUCUUAUAUAUUCUUACUCAACAAAGAGAAAAA
Eriocheir sinensis (Chinese mitten crab) is the source of this 561-nucleotide long non-coding RNA. RefSeq lists it as uncharacterized. The record is from RefSeq and is a predicted model, not a curated record. The transcript has 2 exons. Lineage: Eukaryota; Metazoa; Arthropoda; Malacostraca; Decapoda; Varunidae.